Molecule: non-coding RNA, 91 nt
Organism: Desarmillaria tabescens
Lineage: Eukaryota; Fungi; Basidiomycota; Agaricomycetes; Agaricales; Physalacriaceae
Source: the annotation of a RefSeq genome assembly
ACGCCGAUGGUGAAACGGUUAUCAUGCUUGCCUUCCAUAAGAGUAAGCAAGCACUAAGCAAGCGGUAAGGGUUCGACUCCCUUUCGGCGUA